Molecule: ribosomal RNA, 440 nt
Filed under: uncultured bacterium
Lineage: Bacteria
Description: partial 16S ribosomal RNA
Rfam family: Bacterial small subunit ribosomal RNA
Source: RNAcentral
CCUACGGGAGGCAGCAGUGGGGAAUAUUGCACAAUGGGGGGAACCCUGAUGCAGCGACGCCGCGUGAGCGAUGAAGUAUUUCGGUAUGUAAAGCUCUAUCAGCAGGGAAGAAAAGGACUGUACCUGACUAAGAAGCUCCGGCUAACUACGUGCCAGCAGCCGCGGUAAUACGUAGGGUGCAAGCGUUAUCCGGAUUUACUGGGUGUAAAGGGAGCGUAGACGGCUGUGCAAGUCAGGAGUGAAAGGCAUGGGCUCAACCUGUGGACUGCUUUGGAAACUGUGCGGCUUGAGUAUCGGAGAGGCAAGUGGAAUUCGUAGUGUAGCGGUGAAAUGCGUAGAUAUUAGGAGGAACACCAGUGGCGAAGGCGGCUUGCUGGACGAUGACUGACGUUGAGGCUCGAAAGCGUGGGGAGCAAACAGGAUUAGAUACCCGAGUAGUC